Long non-coding RNA from Nycticebus coucang (slow loris), 693 nucleotides. RefSeq lists it as uncharacterized. Lineage: Eukaryota; Metazoa; Chordata; Mammalia; Primates; Lorisidae. The record is from RefSeq and is a predicted model, not a curated record. The transcript has 3 exons.
AGGAGAACCAACCAGAGGGGGAACGGUGGAGGAUGAAGAAAUAAGACACAGGAGAGACAAAGAAAGAAAGACGGGAAGGACUGCAGCCAGCACUGCACUGUGGAAACAGCUUUACUUAUACAGUAUCUAAUUAAGUUUGGCCAACCCGGGCCUGAACCCGCCACCCUCGGUAUAUGGGGCCGGCGCCCUACCCAUGGAGUCACAGGCGCUACCCUAAUUAAGGAUAACUGGAACAGUUUUAGACCAAAGGGACCUUACAGAGUUGGUGGAGCCUUAAUGACCAGAGAAAGUAAAUGGGAAAUGUCAUAAACGUCAUGAAGCGAGUCAGCUUGUUGGGGGAGGCGGGAUGGAGCUUAUCUGCCGCACGGAUCCUCUAAUCCCGGCUCCCACGUGGACCUCACCUAACGCGUUUAUCCAGCUACUACAGACUGAGCAGCGGAGGGGAGUUGGUUGGGUGGGGGGCGGAUAAUGGACCAGCCCCUCCACAUCCUCUUUACUUUCCAGCGACCGAAAGCAAGCAAACCAAUAAAGCAAGGUAACUGCAGAAAGACAUCAGUUGUUAAGACGAGCAGACAGGACUGGGGAGAGGAAGGAUGUGCGGGGGAGGAGGCUCCUACGGCCAGCAGGACCCAGGGCACGUUUAUAAAGCAGAGAGUCAGGGCGAGUUUGCACCUGCUGCGCCUCUCCCAGGAA